This 397-nucleotide ribosomal RNA is filed under the name uncultured Alphaproteobacteria bacterium. RNAcentral's name for it is "bacterial SSU rRNA". It matches the Rfam family "Bacterial small subunit ribosomal RNA", at positions 9 to 419 of the family's 1533-position model. Lineage: Bacteria; Pseudomonadati; Pseudomonadota; Alphaproteobacteria. The record is from RNAcentral.
GAGUUUGAUCUUGGCUCAGAACGAACGCUGGCGGCAGGCCUAACACAUGCAAGUCGAACGCCCUCUUUCGGGAGGGAGUGGCGCACGGGUGAGUAACGCGUGGGAAUCUGCCCUUUGGUUCGGAAUAACCCUGGGAACCUAGGGCUAACGCCGGAUGAGCCCCUUGGUCGCGAGAUUGGAGGGGGAAGGUUUACGCCGGAGGAGGAGCCCGCGUCCGAUUAGCUAGUUGGUGAGGUAAGAGCUUACCAAGGCUUCGAUCGGUAGCUGGUCUGAGAGGACGAUCAGCCACACUGGGACUGAGACACGGCCCAGACUCCUACGGGAGGCGGCAGUGGGGAAUAUUGGACAAUGGGCGCAAGCCUGAUCCAGCCAUGCCGCGUGAGUGAUGAAGGCCUUC